ACAGAGGCCGCCCGCCAAGUAUGGUGCCAUUCCGAGUCCCGCGGACGAACUUCGCCCACGCCCCCCACCAAGGCUAUAGCCCACCCGUUUUUUGGCCAGUUUUCCGCUGGGGAGUCUUGGGUCCCCGACCAUCGGGGGCUUAUUUUCGGGCGCGGCUGUGCCCGUGGCCUAUUUUUGGCACACAGAGGCCGCCCGCCAAGUAUGGUGCCAUUCCGAGUCGCGCGGACGAACUUCGCCCACGCCCCCCACCAAGGCUAUAGCCCACCCGUUUUUUGGCCAUUUUUCCGCUGGGGGGUCUUGGGACCCCGACCUUCGGGGGCUGAUUUUUGGGCGCGGCUGUGCCCGUGGCCUAUUUUUGGUACACAGAGGCCGCCCGCCAAGUAUGGUGCCAUUCCGAGUCCCGCGGACGAACUUCGCCCACGCCCCCCACCAAGGCUAUAGCCCACGCGUUUUUUGGCCAUUUUUCCGCUGGGGGGUCUUGGGUCCCCGACCUUCGGGGGCUGAUUUUUGGGCGCGGCUGUGCCCGUGGCCUAUUUUUGGCACACAGAGGCCGCCCGCCAAGUAUGGUGCCAUUCCGAGUCCCGCGGACGAACUUCGCCCACGCCCCCCACCAAGGCUAUAGCCCACCCGUUUUUUGGCCAUUUCUCCGCUGGGGGGUCUUGGGACCCCGACCUUCGGGGGCUGAUUUUUGGGAGAGGCUGUGCCCGUGGCCUAUUUUUAGCACACGGAUGCCCCCCGCCAAGUCUGGUGCCAUUCCGAGUCCCGCGGACGAACUUCGCCCACGCCGCCCACCAAGGCUAUAGCCCACCCGUUUUUUGGCCAUUUUUCCGCUGGGGGGUCUUGGGACCCCGACCUUCGGGGGCUGAUUUUUGGGCGCGGCUGUGCCCGUGGCCCCAUUUUUGGUACACAGAGGCCGCCCGCCAAGUAUGGUGCCAUUCCGAGUCCCGCGGACGAACUUCGCCCACGCCGCCCACCAAGGCUAUAGCCCACCCGUUUUUUGGCCAGUUUUCCGCUGGGGGGUCUUGGGACCCCGACCAUCGGGGGCUGAUUUUUGGGCGCGGCUGUGCCCGUUGCCUAUUUUUGGCACACAGAGGCCGCCCGCCAAGUAUGGUGCCAUUCCGAGUCCCGCGGACGAACUUCGCCCACGCCGCCCACCAAGGCUAUAGCCCACCCGUUUUUUGGCCAUUUUUCCGCUGGGGGGUCUUGGGACCCCGACCUUCGGGGGCUGAUUUUUGGGCGCGGCUGUGCCCGUGGCCUAUUUUUGGUACACAGAGGCCGCCCGCCAAGUAUGGUGCCAUUCCGAGUCCCGCGGACGAACUUCGCCCACGCCCCCCACCAAGGCUAUAGCCCACCCGUUUUUUGGCCAGUUUUCCGCUGGGGAGUCUUGGGACCCCGACCAUCGGGGGCUGAUUUUUGGGCGCGGCUGUGCCCGUGGCCUAUUUUUGGCACACAGAGGCCGCCCGCCAAGUAUGGUGCCAUUCCGAGUCCCGCGGACGAACUUCGCCCACGCCCCCCACCAAGGCUAUAGCCAACCCGUUUUUUGGCCAUUUUUCCGCUGGGGGGUCUUGGGACCCCGACCUUCGGGGGCUGAUUUUUGGGCGCGGCUGUGCCCGUGGCCUAUUUUUGGCACACAGAGGCCGCCCGCCAAGUAUGGUGCCAUUCCGAGUCCCGCGGACGAACUUCGCCCACGCCGCCCACCAAGGCUAUAGCCCACCCGUUUUUUGGCCAUUUUUCCGCUGGGGGGUCUUGGGACCCCGACCUUCGGGGGCUGAUUUUUGGGCGCGGCUGUGCCCGUGGCCUAUUUUUGGUACACAGAGGCCGCCCGCCAAGUAUGGUGCCAUUCCGAGUCCCGCGGACGAACUUCGCCCACGCCCCCCACCAAGGCUAUAGCCCACCCGUUUUUUGGCCAUUUUUCCACUGGGGGGUCUUGGGACCCCGACCUUCGGGGGCUGAUUUUUGGGCGCGGCUGUGCCCGUGGCCUAUUUUUGGCACACAGAGGCCGCCCGCCAAGUAUGGUGCCAUUCCGAGUCCCGCGGACGAACUUCGCCCACGCCCCCCACCAAGGCUAUAGCCCACCCGUUUUUUGGCCAUUUUUCCGCUGGGGGGUCUUGGGACCCCGACCUUCGGGGGCUGAUUUUUGGGCGCGGCUGUGCCCGUGGCCUAUUUUUGGCACACAGAGGCCGCCCGCCAAGUAUGGUGCCAUUCCGAGUCCCGCGGACGAACUUCGCCCACGCCCCCCACCAAGGCUAUAGCCCACCCGUUUUUUGGCCAUUUUUCCGCUGGGGGGUCUUGGGACCCCGACCUUCGGGGGCUGAUUUUUGGGCGCGGCUGUGCCCGUGGCCUAUUUUUGGCACACAGAGGCCGCCCGCCAAGUAUGGUGCCAUUCCGAGUCCCGCGGACGAACUUCGCCCACGCCGCCCACCAAGGCUAUAGCCCACCCGUUUUUUGGCCAUUUUUCCGCUGGGGGGUCUUGGGACCCCGACCUUCGGGGGCUGAUUUUUGGGCGCGGCUGUGCCCGUGGCCUAUUUUUGGUACACAGAGGCCGCCCGCCAAGUAUGGUGCCAUUCCGAGUCCCGCGGACGAACUUCGCCCACGCCCCCCACCAAGGCUAUAGCCCACCCGUUUUUUGGCCAUUUUUCCGCUGGGGGGUCUUGGGACCCCGACCUUCGGGGGCUGAUUUUUGGGCGCGGCUGUGCCCGUGGCCUAUUUUUGGCACACAGAGGCCGCCCGCCAAGUAUGGUGCCAUUCCGAGUCCCGCGGACGAACUUCGCCCACGCCGCCCACCAAGGCUAUAGCCCACCCGUUUUUUGGCCAUUUUUCCGCUGGGGGGUCUUGGGACCCCGACCUUCGGGGGCUGAUUUUUGGGCGCGGCUGUGUCCGUGGCCUACUUUUGGCACACAGAGGCCGCCCGCCAAGUAUGGUGCCAUUCCGAGUCCCGCGGACGAACUUCGCCCACGCCGCCCACCAAGGCUAUAGCCCACCCGUUUUUUGGCCAUUUUUCCGCUGGGGGGUCUUGGGACCCCGACCUUCGGGGGCUGAUUUUUGGGCGCGGCUGUGCCCGUGGCCUAUUUUUGGCACACGGAGGCCGCCCGCCAAGUCAGGGGCCAUUCCGAGUCCCGCGGACGAAGUUCGCCCACGCCCCCCACCAAGGCUAUAGCCCACCCGUUUUUUGGCCAUUUUUCCGCUGGGGGGUCUUGGGACCCCGACCUUCGGGGGCUGAUUUUUGGGCGCGGCUGUGCCCGUGGCCUAUUUUUGGCACACGGAGGCCGCCCGCCAAGUCAGGGGCCAUUCCGAGUCCCGCGGACGAAGUUCGCCCACGCCCCCCACCACGGCUAUAGCCCACCCGUUUUUUGGCCAUUUUUCCACUGGGGGGUCUUGGGACCCCGACCUUCGGGGGCUGAUUUUUGGGCGCGGCUGUGCCCGUGGCCUAUUGUUGGCACACGGAGGCCGCCCGCCAAGUCAGGGGCCAUUCCGAGUCCCGCGGACGAACUUCGCCCACGCCCCCCACCAAGGCUAUAGCCCACCCGUUUUUUGGCCAUUUUUCCGCUGGGGGGUCUUGGGACCCCGACCUUCGGGGUCUGAUUUUUGGGCGCGGCUGUGCCCGUGGCCUAUUUUUGGCACACGGAGGCCGCCCGCCAAGUCAGGGGCCAUUCCGAGUCCCGUGGACGAAGUUCGCCCACGCCCCCCACCAAGGCUAUAGCCCACCCGUUUUUGGCCAUUUUCCGCUGGGGGAUCUUGGGACCCCGACCUUCGGGGGCUGAUUUUUGGGCGCGGCUGUGCCCGUGGCCUAUUUUUGGCACACGGAGGCCGCCCGCCAAGUAAGGUGCCAUUCCGAGUCCCGCGGACGAACUUCGCCCACGCCCCCCACCAAGGCUAUAGCCCACCCGUUUUUUGGCCAUUUUUCCGCUGGGGGGUCUUGGGACCCCGACCUUCGGGGGCUGAUUUUUGGGCGCGGCUGUGCCCGUGGCCUAUUUUUGGCACACGGAGGCCGCCCGCCAAGUAUGGUGCCAUUCCGAGUCCCGCGGACGAACUUCGCCCACGCCGCCCACCAAGGCUAUAGCCCACCCGUUUUUUGGCCAUUUUUCCGCUGGGGGGUCUUGGGACCCCGACCUUCGGGGGCUGAUUUUUGGGCGCGGCUGUGCCCGUGGCCUAUUUUUGGCACACGGAGGCCGCCCGCCAAGUCAGGUGCCAUUCCGAGUCCCGCGGACGAAGUUUGCCCACGCCCCCCACCAAGGCUAUAGCCCACCCGUUUUUUGGCCAUUUUUCCGCUGGGGGGUCUUGGGACCCCGACCUUCGGGGGCUGAUUUUUGGGCGCGGCUGUGCCCGUGGCCUAUUUUUGGCACACGGAGGCCGCCCGCCAAGUAUGGUGCCAUUCCGAGUCCCGCGGACGAACUUCGCCCACGCCGCCCACCAAGGCUAUAGCCCACCCGUUUUUUGGCCAUUUUUCCGCUGGGGGGUCUUGGGACCCCGACCUUCGGGGGCUGAUUUUUGGGCGCGGCUGUGCCCGUGGCCUAUUUUUGGUACCCGGAGGCCGCCCGCCAAGUCAGGGGCCAUUCCGAGUCCCGCGGACGAAGUUCGCCCACGCCCCCCACCAAGGCUAUAGCCCACCCGUUUUUUGGCCAUUUUUCCGCUGGGGGGUCUUGGGACCUCGACCUUCGGGGGCUGAUUUUUGGGCGCGGCUGUGCCCGUGUCCUAUUUUUGGCACACGGAGGCCGCCCGCCAAGUCAGGGGCCAUUCCGAGUCCCGCGGACGAAGUUCGCCCACGCCCCCCACCAAGGCUAUAGCCCACCCGUUUUUUGGCCAUUUUUCCGCUGGGGGGUCUUGGGACCCCGACCUUCGGGGGCUGAUUUUUGGGCGCGGCUGUGCCCGUGGCCUAUUUUUGGCACACAGAGGCCGCCCGCCAAGUAUGGUGCCAUUCCGAGUCCCGCGGACGAACUUCGCCCACGCCGCCCACCAAGGCUAUAGCCCACCCGUUUUUUGACCAUUUUUCCGCUGGGGGGUCUUGGGACCCCGACCUUCGGGGGCUGAUUUUUGGGCGCGGCUGUGCCCGUGGCCUAUUUUUGGUACCCGGAGGCCGUCCGCCAAGUCAGGGGCCAUUCCGAGUCCCGCGGACGAAGUUCGCCCACGCCCCCCACCAAGGCUAUAGCCCACCCGUUUUUUGGCCAUUUUUCCGCUGGGGGGUCUUGGGACCCCGACCUUUGGGGGCUGAUUUUUGGGCGCGGCUGUGCCCGUGGCCUAUUUUUGGCACACGGAGGCCGCCCGCCAAGUCAGGGGCCAUUCCGAGUCCCGCGGACGAAGUUCGCCCACGCCCCCCACCAAGGCUAUAGCCCACCCGUUUUUUGGCCAUUUUUCCGCUGGGGGGUCUUGGGACCCCGACCUUCGGGGGCUGAUUUUUGGGCGCGGCUGUGCCCGUGGCCUAUUUUUGGCACACAGAGGCCGCCCGCCAAGUAUGGUGCCAUUCCGAGUCCCGCGGACGAACUUCGCCCACGCCCCCCACCAAGGCUAUAGCCCCACCCGUUUUUUGGCCAUUUUUCCCGCUUGGGGGGGUCUUGGGACCCCGACCUUCGGGGGCUGAUUUUUGGGCGCGGCUGUGCCCGUGGCCUAUUUUUGGCACACGGAGACCGCCCGCCAAGUAUGGUGCCAUUCCGAGUCCCGCGGACGAACUUCGCCCACGCCCCCCACCAAGGCUAUAGCCCACCCGUUUUUUGGCCAUUUUUCCGCUGGGGGGUCUUGGGACCCCGACCUUCGGGGGCUGAUUUUUGGGCGCGGCUGUGCCCGUGGCCUAUUUUUGGCACACGGAGGCCGCCCGCCAAGUAUGGUGCCAUUCCGAGUCCCGCGGACGAACUUCGCCCACGCCGCCCACCAAGGCUAUAGCCCACCCGUUUUUUGGCCAUUUUUCCGCUGGGGGGUCUUGGGACCCCGACCUUCGGGGGCUGAUUUUUGGGCGCGGCUGUGCCCGUGGCCUAUUUUUGGCACACGGAGGCCGCCCGCCAAGUCAGGGGCCAUUCCGAGUCCCGCGGACGAAGUUCGCCCACGCCCCACACCAAGGCCAUAGCCCACCCGUUUUUUGGCCAUUUUUCCGCUGGGGGGUCUUGGGACCCCGACCUUCGGGGGCUGAUUUUUGGGCGCGGCUGUGCCCGUGGCCUAUUUUUGGCACACAGAGGCCGCCCGCCAAGUAUGGUGCCAUUCCGAGUCCCGCGGACGAACUUCGCCCACGCCGCCCACCAAGGCUAUAGCCCACCCGUUUUUUGGCCAUUUUUCCGCUGGGGGGUCUUGGGACCUCGACCUUCGGGGGCUGAUUUUUGGGCGCGGCUGUGCCCGUGUCCUAUUUUUGGCACACGGAGGCCGCCCGCCAAGUCAGGGGCCAUUCCGAGUCCCGCGGACGAAGUUCGCCCACGCCCCCCACCAAGGCUAUAGCCCACCCGUUUUUUGGCCAUUUUUCCGCUGGGGGGUCUUGGGACCCCGACCUUCGGGGGCUGAUUUUUGGGCGCGGCUGUGCCCGUGGCCUAUUUUUGGCACACGGAGGCCGCCCGCCAAGUCAGGGGCCAUUCCGAGUCCCGCGGACGAACUUCGCCCACGCCCCCCACCAAGGCUAUAGCCCACCCGUUUUUUGGCCAUUUUUCCGCUGGGGGGUCUUGGGACCCCGACCUUCGGGGGCUGAUUUUUGGGCGCGGCUGUGCCCGUGGCCUAUUUUUGGCACACAGAGGCCGCCCGCCAAGUAUGGUGCCAUUCCGAGUCCCGCGGACGAACUUCGCCCACGCCCCCCACCAAGGCUAUAGCCCACCCGUUUUUUGGCCAUUUUUCCGCUGGGGGGUCUUGGGACCCCGACCUUCGGGGGCUGAUUUUUGGGCGCGGCUGUGCCCGUGGCCUAUUUUUGGCACACGGAGGCCGCCCGCCAAGUCAGGGGCCAUUCCGAGUCCCGCGGACGAAGUUCGCCCACGCCCCCCACCAAGGCUAUAGCCCACCCGUUUUUUGGCCAUUUUUCCGCUGGGGGGUCUUGGGACCCCGACCUUCGGGGUCUGAUUUUUGGGCGCGGCUGUGCCCGUGGCCUAUUUUUGGCACACAGAGGCCGCCCGCCAAGUAUGGUGCCAUUCCGAGUCCCGCGGACGAACUUCGCCCACGCCCCCCACCAAGGCUAUAGCCCACCCGUUUUUUGGCCAUUUUUCCGCUGGGGGGUCUUGGGACCCCGACCUUCGGGGGCUGAUUUUUGGGCGCGGCUGUGCCCGUGGUCUAUUUUUGGCACACGGAGGCCGCCCGCCAAGUCAGGGGCCAUUCCGAGUCCCGCGGACGAACUUCGCCCACGCCGCCCACCAAGGCUAUAGCCCACCCGUUUUUUGGCCAUUUUUCCGCUGGGGGGUCUUGGGACCCCGACCUUCGGGGGCUGAUUUUUGUGCGCGGCUGUGCCCGUGGCCUAUUUUUGGCACACAGAGGCCGCCCGCCAAGUAUGGUGCCAUUCCGAGUCCCGCGGACGAACUUCGCCCACGCCCCCCACCAAGGCUAUAGCCCACCCGUUUUUUGGCCAUUUUUCCGCUGGGGGGUCUUGGGACCCCGACCUUCGGGGGCUGAUUUUUGGGCGCGGCUGUGCCCGUGGCCUAUUUUUGGCACACGGAGGCCGCCCGCCAAGUCAGGGGCCAUUCCGAGUCCCGCGGAUGAAGUUCGCCCACGCCCCCCACCAAGGCUAUAGCCCACCCGUUUUUUGGCCAUUUUUCCACUGGGGGGUCUUGGGACCCCGACCUUCGGGGGCUGAUUUUUGUACGCGGCUGUGCCCGUGGCCUAUUUUUGGCACACAGAGGCCGCCCGCCAAGUAUGGUGCCAUUCCGAGUCCCGCGGACGAACUUCGCCCACGCCCCCCACCAAGGCUAUAGCCCACCCGUUUUUUGGCCAUUUUUCCGCUGGGGGGUCUUGGGACCCCGACCUUCGGGGGCUGAUUUUUGGGCGCGGCUGUGCCCGUGGCCUAUUUUUGGCACACGGAGGCCGCCCGCCAAGUCAGGGGCCAUUCCGAGUCCCGCGGACGAAGUUCGCCCACGCCCCCCACGAAGGCUAUAGCCCACCCAUUUUUUGGCCAUUUUUCCACUGGGGGGUCUUGGGAGCCCGACCUUCGGGGGCUGAUUUUUGUGCGCGGCUGUGCCCGUGGCCUAUUUUUGGCACACAGAGGCCGCCCGCCAAGUAUGGUGCCAUUCCGAGUCCCGCGGACGAACUUCGCCCACGCCGCCCACCAAGGCUAUAGCCCACCCGUUUUUUGGCCAUUUUUCCGCUGGGGGGUCUUGGGACCCCGACCUUCGGGGGCUGAUUUUUGGGCGCGGCUGUGCCCGUGGCCUAUUUUUGGCACACGGAGGCCGCCCGCCAAGUCAGGGGCCAUUCCGAGUCCCGCGGACGAAGUUCGCCCACGCCCCCCACCAAGGCUAUAGCCCACCCGUUUUUUGGCCAUUUUUCCGCUGGGGGGUCUUGGGACCCCGACCUUCGGGGGCUGACUUUUGGGAGCGGCUGUGCCCGUGGCCUAUUUUUGGCACACAGAGGCCGCCCGCCAAGUAUGGUGCCAUUCCGAGUCCCGCGGACGAACUUCGCCCACGCCCCCCACCAAGGCUAUAGCCCACCCGUUUUUUGGCCAUUUUUCCGCUGCGGGGUCUUGGGACCCCGACCUUCGGGGGCUGAUUUUUGGGCGCGGCUGUGCCCGUGGCCUAUUUUUGGCACACAGAGGCCGCCCGCCAAGUAUGGUGCCAUUCCGAGUCCCGCAGACGAACUUCGCCUACGCCGCCCACCAAGGCUAUAGCCCACCCGUUUUUUGGCCAUUUUUCCGCUGGGGGGUCUUGGGACCCCGACCUUCGGGGGCUGAUUUUUGGGCGCGGCUGUGCCCGUGGCCUAUUUUUGGCACACGGAGGCCGCCCGCUAAGUCAGGGGCCAUUCCGAGUCCCGCGGACUAAGUUCGCCCACGCCCCCCACCAAGGCCAUUGCCCGACCGUUUUAUGGCCAUUUUUCCACUGGGGGGUCUUGCGACCCCGACCUUCGGGGGCUGAUUUUUGGGCGCGGCUGUGCCCGUGUCCUAUUUUUGGCACACAGAGGCCGCCCGCCAAGUAUGGUGCCAUUCCGAGUCCCGCGGACGAACUUCGCCCACGCCCCCCACCAAGGCUAUAGCCCACCCGUUUUUUGGCCAUUUUUCCGCUGGGGGGUCUUGGGACCCCGACCUUCGGGGGCUGACUUUUGGGCGCGGCUGUGCCCGUGGCCUAUUUUUGGCACACAGAGGCCGCCCGCCAAGUAUGGUGCCAUUCCGAGUCCCGCGGACGAACUUCGCCCACGCCCCCCACCAAGGCUAUAGCCCACCCGUUUUUUGGCCAUUUUUCCGCUGGGGGGUCUUGGGACCCCGACCUUCGGGGGCUGAUUUUUGGGCGCGCCUGUGCCCGUGGCCUAUUUUUGGCACACAGAGGCCGCCCGCCAAGUAUGGUGCCAUUCCGAGUCCCGCGGACGAACUUCGCCCACGCCCCCCACCAAGGCUAUAGCCCACCCGUUUUUUGGCCAUUUUUCCGCUGGGGGGUCUUGGGACCCCGACCUUCGGGGGCUGACUUUUGGGCGCGGCUGUGCCCGUGGCCUAUUUUUGGCACACAGAGGCCGCCCGCCAAGUAUGGUGCCAUUCCGAGUCCCGCGGACGAACUUCGCCCACGCCCCCCACCAAGGCUAUAGCCCACCCGUUUUUUGGCCAUUUUUCCGCUGGGGGGUCUUGGGACCCCGACCUUCGGGGGCUGAUUUUUGGGCGCGCCUGUGCCCGUGGCCUAUUUUUGGCACACAGAGGCCGCCCGCCAAGUAUGGUGCCAUUCCGAGUCCCGCGGACGAACUUCGCCCACGCCGCCCACCAAGGCUAUAGCCCACCCGUUUUUUGGCCAUUUUUCCGCUGGGGGGUCUUGGGACCCCGACCUUCGGGGGCUGAUUUUUGGGCGUGGCUGUGCCCGUGGCCUAUUUUUGGCACACGGAGGCCGCCCGCCAAGUCAGGGGCCAUUCUGAGUCCCGCGGACGAAGUUCGCCCACGCCCCACACCAAGGCCAUAGCCCACCCGUUUUUUGGCCAUUUUUCCGCUGGGGGGUCUUGGGACCCCGACCUUCGGGGGCUGACUUUUGGGAGCGGCUGUGCCCGUGGCCUAUUUUUGGCACACAGAGGCCGCCCGCCAAGUAUGGUGCCAUUCCGAGUCCCGCGGACGAACUUCGCCCACGCCCCCCACGAAGGCUAUAGCCCACCCGUUUUUUGGCAAUUUUUCCGCUGGGGGGUCUUGGGACCCCGACCUUCGGGGGCUGAUUUUUGGGCGCGGCUGUGCCCGUGGCCUAUUUUUGGCACACGGAGGCCGCCCGCCAAGUCAGGGGCCAUUCCGAGUCCCGCGGACGAAGUUCGCCCACGCCCUCCACCAAGGCUAUAGCCCACCCGUUUUUUGGCUAUUUUUCCACUGGGGGGUCUUGGGACCCCGACUUUCGGGUGCUGAUUUUUGGGCGCGGCUGUGCCCGUGGCCUAUUUUUGGCACACAGAGGCCGCCCGCCAAGUAUGGUGCCAUUCCGAGUCCCGCGGACGAACUUCGCCCACGCCCCCCACCAAGGCUAUAGCCCACCCGUUUUUUGGCCAUUUUUCCGCUGGGGGGUCUUGGGACCCCGACCUUCCGGGGCUGAUUUUUGAGCGCGGCUGUGCCCGUGGCCUAUUUUUGGCACACAGAGGCCGCCCGCCAAGUAUGGUGCCAUUCCGAGUCCCGCGGACGAACUUCGCCCACGCCGCCCACCAAGGCUAUUGCCCACCCGUUUUUUGGCCAUUUUUCCGCUGGGGGGUCUUGGGACCCCGACCUUCGGGGGCUGAUUUUUGGGCGCGGCUGUGCCCGUGGCCUAUUUUUGGCACACAGAGGCCGCCCGCCAAGUAUGGUGCCAUUCCGAGUCCCGCGGACGAACUUCGCCCACGCCGCCCACCAAGGCUAUAACCCACCCGUUUUUUGGCCAUUUUUCCGCUGGGGGGUCUUGGGACCCCGACCUUCGGGGGCUGAUUUUUGGGCGCGGCUGUGCCCGUGGCCUAUUUUUGGCACACAGAGGCCGCCCGCCAAGUAUGGUGCCAUUCCGAGUCCCGCGGACGAACUUCGCCCACGCCCCCCACCAAGGCUAUAGCCCACCCGUUUUUUGGCCAUUUUUCCGCUGGGGGGUCUUGGGACCCCGACCUUCGGGGGCUGAUUUUUGGGCGCGGCUGUGCCCGUGGCCUAUUUUUGGCACACAGAGGCCGCCCGCCAAGUAUGGUGCCAUUCCGAGUCCCGCGGACGAACUUCGCCCACGCCCCCCACCAAGGCUAUAGCCCACCCGUUUUUUGGCCAUUUUUCCGCUGGGGGGUCUUGGGACCCCGACCUUCGGGGGCUGAUUUUUGGGCGCGGCUGUGCCCGUGGCCUAUUUUUCGCACACAGAGGCCGCCCGCCAAGUAUGGUGCCAUUCCGAGUCCCGCGGACGAACUUCGCCCACACCCCCCACCAAGGCUAUAGCCCACCCGUUUUUUGGCCAUUUUUCCGCUGGGGGGUCUUGGGACCCCGACCUUCGGGGGAUGAUUUUUGGGCGCGGCUGUGCCCGUGGCCUAUUUUUGGCACACGGAGGCCGCCCGCCAAGUCAGGGGCCAUUCCGAGUCCCGCGGACGAACUUCGCCCACGCCGCCCACCAAGGCUAUAGCCCACCCGUUUUUUGGCCAUUUUUCCGCUGGGGGAUCUUGGGACCCCGACCUUCGGGGGCUGAUUUUUGGGCGCGGCUGUGCCCGUGGCCUAUUUUUGGCACACAGAGGCCGCCCGCCAAGUAUGGUGCCAUUCCGAGUCCCGCGGAUGAACUUCGCCCACGCCGCCCACCAAGGCUAUAGCCCACCCGUUUUUUGGCCAUUUUUCCGCUGGGGGGUCUUGGGACCCCGACCUUCGGGUGCUGAUUUUAGGGCGCGGCUGUGCCCGUGGCCUAUUUUUGGCACACAGAGGCCGCCCGCCAAGUAUGGUGCCAUUCCGAGUCCCGCGGACGAACUUCGCCCACGCCGCCCACCAAGGCUAUAGCCCACCCGUUUUUUGGCCAUUUUUCCGCUGGGGGGUCUUGGGACCCCGACCUUCGGGUGCUGAUUUUUGGGCGCGGCUGUGCCCGUGGCCUAUUUUUUGGCACACAGAGGGCCGCCCGCCAAGUCAGGGUGCCAUUCCGAGUCCCGCGGACGAAGUUCGCCCACGCCCCCCACCAAGGCUAUAGCCCACCCGUUUUUUGGCCAUUUUUCCGCUGGGGGGUCUUGGGACCCCGACCUUCGGGGGCUGAUUUUUGGGCGCGGCUGUGCCCGUGGCCUAUUUUUGGCACACGGAGGCCGCCCGCCAAGUCAGGGGCCAUUCCGAGUCCCGCGGACGAAGUUCGCCCACGCCCCCCACCAAGGCUAUAGCCCACCCGUUUUUUGGCCAUUUUUCCGCUGGGGGGUCUUGGGACCCCAACCUUCGGGGGCUGAUUUUUGAGCGCGGCUGUGCCCGUGGCCUAUUUUUGGCACACGGAGGCCGCCCGCCAAGACAGGGGCCAUUCCGAGUCCCGCGGACGAACUUCGCCCACGCCGCCCACCAAGGCUAUAGCCCACCCGUUUUUUGGCCAUUUUUCCGCUUGGGGGUCUUGGGACCCCGACCUUCGGGGGCUGAUUUUUGAGCGCGGCUGUGCCCGUGGCCUAUUUUUGGUACACGGAGGCCGCCCGCCAAGUCUGGUGCCAUUCCGAGUCCCGCGGACGAACUUCGCCCACGCCGCCCACCAAGGCUAUAGCCCACCCGUUUUUUGACCAUUUUUCCGCUGGGGGGUCUUGGGACCCCGACCUUCGGGGGCUGAUUUUUGGGCGCGGCUGUGCCCGUGGCCUAUUUUUGGCACACAGAGGCCGCCCGCCAAGUAUGGUGCCAUUCCGAGUCCCGCGGACGAACUUCGCCCACGCCCCCCACCAAGGCUAUAGCCCACCCGUUUUUUGGCCAUUUUUCCGCUGGGGGGUCUUGGGACCCCGACCUUCGGGGGCUGAUUUUUGGGCGCGGCUGUGCCCGUGGCCUAUUUUUGGCACACAGAGGCCGCCCGCCAAGUAUGGUGCCAUUCCGAGUCCCGCGGACGAACUUCGCCCACGCCGCCCACCAAGGCUAUAGCCCACCCGUUUUUUGGCCAUUUUUCCGCUGGGGGGUCUUGGGACCCCGACCUUCGGGGGCUGAUUUUUGGGCGCGGCUGUGCCCGUGGCCUAUUUUUGGCACACGGAGGCCGCCCGCCAAGUCAGGGGCCAUUCCGAGUCCCGCGGACGAAGUUCGCCCACGCCCCACACCAAGGCCAUAGCCCACCCGUUUUUUGGCCAUUUUUCCGCUGGGGGGUCUUGGGACCCCGACCUUCGGGGGCUGAUUUUUGGGCGCGGCUGUACCCGUGGCCCAGUUUUGGCACACGGAGGCCGCCCGCCAAGUCAGGGGCCAUUCCGAGUCCCGCGGAUGAAGUUCGCCCACGCCCCCCACCAAGGCUAUAGCCCACCCGUUUUUUGGCCAUUUUUCCACUGGGGGGUCUUGGGACCCCGACCUUCGGGGGCUGAUUUUUGUACGCGGCUGUGCCCGUGGCCUAUUUUUGGCACACAGAGGCCGCCCGCCAAGUAUGGUGCCAUUCCGAGUCCCGCGGACGAACUUCGCCCACGCCCCCCACCAAGGAUAUAGCCCACCCGUUUUUUGGCCAUUUUUCCGCUGGGGGGUCUUGGGACCCCGACCUUCAGGGGCUGAUUUUUGGGCGCGGCUGUGCCCGUGGCCUAUUUUUGGCACACGGAGGCCGCCCGCCAAGUCAGGGGCCAUUCCGAGUCCCGCGGACGAAGUUCGCCCACGCCCCCCACCAAGGCUAUAGCCAACCCGUUUUUUGGCCAUUUUUCCGCUGGGGGGUCUUGGGACCCCGACCUUCGGGGGCUGAUUUUUGGGCGCGGCUGUGCCCGUGGCCUAUUUUUGGCACACAGAGGCCGCCCGCCAAGUAUGGUGCCAUUCCGAGUCCCGCGGACGAACUUCGCCCACGCCGCCCACCAAGGCUAUAGCCCACCCGUUUUUUGGCCAUUUUUCCGCUGGGGGGUCAUGGGACCCCGACCUUCGGGGGCUGAUUUUUGGGCGCGGCUGUGCCCGUGGCCUAUUUUUGGCACACAGAGGCCGCCCGCCAAGUAUGGUGCCAUUCCGAGUCCCGCGGACGAACUUCGCCCACGCCCCCCACCAAGGCUAUAGCCCACCCGUUUUUUGGCCAUUUUUCCGCUGGGGGGUCUUGGGACCCCGACCUUCGGGGGCUGAUAUUUGGGCGCGGCUGUGCCCGUGGCCCAGUUUUGGCACACGGAGGCCGCCCGCCAAGUCGGGGGCCAUUCCGAGUCCCGCGGAUGAAGUUCGCCCACGCCCCCCACCAAGGCUAUAGCCCACCCGUUUUUUGGCCAUUUUUCCGCUGGGUGGUCUUGGGACCCCGACCUUCGGGGGCUGAUUUUUGGGCGCGGCUGUGCCCGUGGCCUAUUUUUGGCACACAGAGGCCGCCCGCCAAGUAUGGUGCCAUUCCGAGUCCCGCGGACGAACUUCGCCCACGCCGCCCACCAAUUCUAUAGCCCACCCGUUUUUUGGCCAUUUUUCCGCUGGGGGGUCUUGGGACCCCGACCUUCGGGGGCUGAUUUUUGGGCGCGGCUGUGCCCGUGGCCUAUUUUUGGCACACGGAGGCCGCCCGCCAAGUCAGGGGCCAUUCCGAGUCCCGCGGACGAAGUUCGCCCACGCCGUCCACCAAGGCUAUAGCCCACCCGUUUUUUGGCCAUUUUUCCACUGGGGGGUCUUGGGACACCGACUUUCGGGUGCUGAUUUUUGGGCGCGGCUGUGCCCGUGGCCUAUUUUUGGCACACAGAGGCCGCCCACCAAGUAUGGUGCCAUUCCGAGUCCCGCGGACGAACUUCGCCCACGCCCCCCACCAAGGCUAUAGCCCACCCGUUUUUUGGCCAUUUUUCCGCUGGGGGGUCUUGGGACCCCGACCUUCGGGGGCUGAUUUUUGGGCGCGGCUGUGCCCGUGGCCUAUUUUUGGCACACGGAGGCCGCCCGCCAAGUCAGGGGCCAUUCCGAGUCCCGCGGACGAACUUCGCCCACGCCGCCCACCAAGGCUAUAGCCCACCCGUUUUUUGGCCAUUUUUCCGCUGGGGGGUCUUGGGACCCCGACCUUCGGGGGCUGAUUUUUGGGCGCGGCUGUGCCCGUGGCCUAUUUUUGGCACACAGAGGCCGCCCGCCAAGUACGGUGCCAUUCCGAGUCCCGCGGACGAACUUCGCCCACGCCGCCCACCAAGGCUGUAGCCCACCCGUUUUUUGGCCAUUUUUCCGCUGGGGGGUCUUGGGACCCCGACCUUCGGGGGCUGAUUUUUGGGCGCGGCUGUGCCCGUGGCCUAUUUUUGGCACACGGAGGCCGCCCGCCAAGUCAGGGGCCAUUCCGACUCCCGCGGACGAAGUUCGCCCACGCCCCCCACCAAGGCUAUAGCCCACCCGUUUUUGGCCAUUUUUCCGCUGGGGGGUCUUGGGACCCCGACCUUCGGGGGCUGAUUUUUGGGCGCGGCUGUGCCCGUGGCCUAUUUUUAGCACACAGAGGCCGCCCGCCAAGUAUGGUGCCAUUCCGAGUCCCGCGGACGAACUUCGCCCACGCCCCCCACCAAGGCUAUAGCCCACCCGUUUUUUGGCCAUUUCUCCGCUGGUGGGUCUUGGGACCCCGACCUUCGGGGGCUGAUUUUUGGGCGCGGCUGUGCCCGUGGCCUAUUUUUGGCACACGGAGGCCGCCCGCCAAGUCAGGGGCCAUUCCGAGUCCCGCGGACGAAGUUCGCCCACGCCCCCCACCAAGGCUAUAGCCCACCCGUUUUUUGGCCAUUUUUCCACUGGGGGGUCUUGGGACCCCGACCUUCGGGGGCUGAUUUUUGGGCGCGGCUGUGCCCGUGGCCUAUUUUUGGCACACAGAGGCCGCCCGCCAAGUAUGGUGCCAUUCCGAGUCCCGCGGACGAACUUCGCCCACACCCCCAACAAGGCUAUAGCCCACCCGUUUUUUGGCCAUUUUUCCGCUGGUGGGUCUUGGGACCCCGACCUUCGGGGGCUGAUUUUUGGGCGCGGCUGUGCCCGUGCCCUAUUUUUGGCACACGGAGGCCGCCCGCCAAGUCAGGGGCCAUUCCGAGUCCCGCGGACGAAGUUCGCCCACGCCCCCCACCAAGGCUAUAGCCCACCCGUUUUUUGGCCAUUUUUCCACUGGGGGGUCUUGGGACCCCGACCUUCGGGGGCUGAUUUUUGUGCGCGGCUGUGCCCGUGGCCUAUUUUUGGCACACAGAGGCCGCCCGCCAAGUAUGGUGCCAUUCCGAGUCCCGCGGACGAACUUCGCCCACGCCCCCCACCAAGGCUAUAGCCCACCCGUUUUUUGGCCAUUUUUUCGCUGGGGGGUCUUGGGACCCCGACCUUCGGGGGCUGAUUUUUGGGCGCGGCUGUGCCCGUGGCCUAUUUUUGGUACCCGGAGGCCGCCCGCCAAGUCAGGGGCCAUUCCGAGUCCCGCGGACGAAGUUCGCCCACGCCCCCCACCAAGGCUAUAGCCCACCCGUUUUUUGGCCAUUUUUCCGCUGGGGGGUCUUGGGACCUCGACCUUCGGGGGCUGAUUUUUGGGCGCGGCUGUGCCCGUGUCCUAUUUUUGGCACACGGAGGCCGCCCGCCAAGUCAGGUGCCAUUCCGAGUCCCGCGGACGAAGUUUGCCCACGCCCCCCACCAAGGCUAUAGCCCACCCGUUUUUUGGCCAUUUUUCCGCUGGGGGGUCUUGGGACCCCGACCUUCGGGGGCUGAUUUUUGGGCGCGGCUGUGCCCGUGGCCUAUUUUUGGCACACAGAGGCCGCCCGCCAAGUAUGGUGCCAUUCCGAGUCCCGCGGACGAACUUCGCCCACGCCGCCCACCAAGGCUAUAGCCCACCCGUUUUUUGACCAUUUUUCCGCUGGGGGGUCUUGGGACCCCGACCUUCGGGGGCUGAUUUUUGGGCGCGGCUGUGCCCGUGGCCUAUUUUUGGUACCCGGAGGCCGCCCGCCAAGUCAGGGGCCAUUCCGAGUCCCGCGGACGAAGUUCGCCCUCUCCCCCCACCAAGGCUAUAGCCCACCCGUUUUUUGGCCAUUUUUCCGCUGGGGGGUCUUGGGACCUCGACCUUCGGGGGCUGAUUUUUGGGCGCGGCUGUGCCCGUGUCCUAUUUUUGGCACACGGAGGCCGCCCGCCAAGUCAGGGGCCAUUCCGAGUCCCGCGGACGAAGUUCGCCCACGCCCCCCACCAAGGCUAUAGCCCACCCGUUUUUUGGCCAUUUUUCCGCUGGGGGGUCUUGGGACCCCGACCUUCGGGGGCUGAUUUUUGGGCGCGGCUGUGCCCGUGGCCUAUUUUUGGCACACAGAGGCCGCCCGCCAAGUAUGGUGCCAUUCCGAGUCCCGCGGACGAACUUCGCCCACGCCGCCCACCAAGGCUAUAGCCCACCCGUUUUUUGACCAUUUUUCCGCUGGGGGGUCUUGGGACCCCGACCUUCGGGGGCUGAUUUUUGGGCGCGGCUGUGCCCGUGGCCAAUUUUUGGUACCCGGAGGCCGUCCGCCAAGUCAGGGGCCAUUCCGAGUCCCGCGGACGAAGUUCGCCCACGCCCCCCACCAAGGCUAUAGCCCACCCGUUUUUUGGCCAUUUUUCCGCUGGGGGGUCUUGGGACCCCGACCUUUGGGGGCUGAUUUUUGGGCGCGGCUGUGCCCGUGGCCUAUUUUUGGCACACGGAGGCCGCCCGCCAAGUCAGGGGCCAUUCCGAGUCCCGCGGACGAAGUUCGCCCACGCCCCCCACCAAGGCUAUAGCCCACCCGUUUUUUGGCCAUUUUUCCGCUGGGGGGUCUUGGGACCCCGACCUUCGGGGUCUGAUUUUUGGGCGCGGCUGUGCCCGUGGCCUAUUUUUGGCACACGGAGACCACCCGCCAAGUAUGGUGCCAUUCCGAGUCCCGCGGACGAACUUCGCCCACGCCCCCCACCAAGGCUAUAGCCCACCCGUUUUUUGGCCAUUUUUCCGCUGGGGGGUCUUGGGACCCCGACCUUCGGGGGCUGAUUUUUGGGCGCGGCUGUGCCCGUGGCCUAUUUUUGGCACACGGAGGCCGCCCGCCAAGUAUGGUGCCAUUCCGAGUCCCGCGGACGAACUUCGCCCACGCCGCCCACCAAGGCUAUAGCCCACCCGUUUUUUGGCCAUUUUUCCGCUGGGGGGUCUUGGGACCCCGACCUUCGGGGGCUGAUUUUUGGGCGCGGCUGUGCCCGUGGCCUAUUAUUGGCACACGGAGGCCGCCCGCCAAGUCAGGGACCAUUCCGAGUCCCGCGGACGAAGUUCGCCCACGCCCCCCACCAAGGCUAUAGCCCACCCGUUUUUUGGACAUUUUUCCGCUGGGGGGUCUUGGGACCCCGACCUUCGGGGGCUAAUUUUUGGGCGCGGCUGUGCCCGUGGCCUAUUUUUGGCACACAUAGGCCGCCCGCCAAGUAUGGUGCCAUUCCUAGUCCCGCGGACAAACUUCUCCCACACCACCCACCAAGGCUAUAGCCCACCCGUUUUUGGCCAUUUUUCCGCUGGGGGGUCUUGGGAGCCCGACCUUCGGGGGCUGAUUUUUGGGCGCGGCUGUGCCCGUGGCCUAUUUUUGGCACACGGAGGCCGCCCGCCAAGUCAGGGGCCAUUCCGAGUCCCGCGGACGAAGUUCGCCCACGCCCCCCACCAAGGCUAUAGCCCACCCGUUUUUUGGCCAUUUUUCCGCUGGGGGGUCUUGGGACCCCGACCUUCGGGGGCUGAUUUUUGGGCCGCGGCUGUGCCCGUGGCCUAUUUUUGGCACACAGAGGCCGCCCGCCAAGUAUGGUGCCAUUCCGAGUCCCGCGGACGAACUUCGCCCACGCCCCCCACCAAGGCUAUAGCCCACCCGUUUUUUGGCCAUUUUUCCGCUGGGGGGUCUUGGGACCCCGACCUUCGGGGGCUGAUUUUUGGGCGCGGCUGUGCCCGUGGCCUAUUUUUGGCACACAGAGGCCGCCCGCCAAGUAUGGUGCCAUUCCGAGUCCCGCGGACGAACUUCGCCCACGCCCCCCACCAAGGCUAUAGCCCACCCGUUUUUUGGCCAUUUUUCCGCUGGGGGGUCUUGGGACCCCGACCUUCGGGGGCUGAUUUUUGGGCGCGGCUGUGCCCGUGGCCUAUUUUUGGCACACGGAGGCCGCCCGCCAAGUCAGGGGCCAUUCCGAGUCCCGCGGACGAAGUUCGCCCACGCCCCCCACCAAGGCUAUAGCCCACCCGUUUUUUGGCCAUUUUUCCACUGGGGGGUCUUGGGACCCCGACCUUCGGGGGCUGAUUUUUGGGCGCGGCUGUGCCCGUGGCCUAUUUUUGGCACACGGAGGCCGCCCGCCAAGUCAGGGGCCAUUCCAAGUCCCGCGUACGAAGUUCGCCCACGCCUCCCACCAAGGCUAUAGCCCACCCAUUUUUUGGCCAUUUUUCCACUGGGGGGUCUUGGGACCCCGACCUUCGGGGGCUGAUUUUUGUGCGCGGCUGUGCCCGUGGCCUAUUUUUGGCACACAGAGACCGCCCGCCAAGUAUGGUGCCAUUCCGAGUCCCGCGGACGAACUUCGCCCACGCCGCCCACCAAGUCUAUAGCCCACCCGUUUUUUGGCCAUUUUUCCGCUGGGGGGUCUUGGGACCCCGACCUUCGGGGGCUGAUUUUUGGGCGCGGCUGUGCCCGUGGCCUAUU
Molecule: long non-coding RNA, 19725 nt
Filed under: Citrus x clementina
Lineage: Eukaryota; Viridiplantae; Streptophyta; Magnoliopsida; Sapindales; Rutaceae
Description: Citrus clementina (C. clementina) long non-coding RNA (CCLE_LNC002228)
Source: RNAcentral